RNAcentral lists this ribosomal RNA (353 nucleotides) under Phaenocora sp. n. NVS-2013. RNAcentral describes it as "SSU rRNA". It matches the Rfam family "Eukaryotic small subunit ribosomal RNA", at positions 594 to 945 of the family's 1831-position model. The record is from RNAcentral. Lineage: Eukaryota; Metazoa; Platyhelminthes; Rhabdocoela; Typhloplanidae.
AUAGCGUAUAUUGAAGUUGUUGCAGUUAAAAAGCUCGUAGUUGGAUCUGAGGUGGGAGUCGUCGGUUCAGCUUGCGCUGCGACUGUACGUGCUCUACCUUACACAGUCAUUAGACGCUCUGUGGUGCUCUUUAUUGAGUGCUGCGGAGUGCAUGGCACGUUUACUUUGAAAAAAUUAAAGUGCUCAAAGCAGGCUUUAUAGCUUGUAUACUCUUGCAUGGAAUAAUGGAAUAGGACUUCGGUUCUAUUUUAUUGGUUUUCGGACCCGGAGUAAUGAUUAAAAGAGACUGCCGGGGGCAUAUGUAUGGUGGCGUUAGAGGUGAAAUUCUUGGAUCGCCGCCAGACAGUCUACUG